RNAcentral lists this ribosomal RNA (255 nucleotides) under uncultured bacterium. RNAcentral describes it as "partial 16S ribosomal RNA". It matches the Rfam family "Bacterial small subunit ribosomal RNA", at positions 524 to 776 of the family's 1533-position model. The record is from RNAcentral.
UACGGGGGGGGGCAAGCGUUGUUCGGAAUUACUGGGCGUAAAGGGCGCGUAGGCGGCCUGCUAAGUCGGAUGUGAAAUCCCUCGGCUCAACCGAGGAACUGCAUCCGAUACUGGCGGGCUUGAAUCCGGGAGAGGGAUGUGGAAUUCCAGGUGUAGCGGUGAAAUGCGUAGAUAUCUGGAGGAACACCGGUGGCGAAGGCGGCAUCCUGGACCGGUAUUGACGCUGAGGCGCGAAAGCUAGGGGGAGCAAACGGG